UUGUACGCUCCCAGUGCAAAGAGCGUCAUGGAGGUGAGGAGCUUAUGACGCCUCCGAUCCACAGGUACUGAAUCUGUGUGAAAUUUGAUGGGGUUUCGAUGAAUUUAAUCGUUAUAAUUUUGGGGAAAGAUUUAAGCUCCAGUUACUUUUUUUUGUCGAUUUAUUGCUGGAUACGCUCAAUUCGCUAUAGAAGGAUUGAUUUUGGUUUCAUGAAGUAGCCGGAAGUUGGGUAGCUUCCAUGUCUGAUAGAGAGUGAACAGAUUGGAUUAUGUUCAAUGAAGUUCGUAAACUUAUCCGAAACAUUAGUUAAUUGUUUGUGAUAUUAAAAAUUCCAUCUUUGAAUAGGGCAUAAUUUUCUAUAAACUGUAUCGAUUUAGGGAGUACUGCAUGCUGGUGUUUUGUUUAUAAGAGGAUCUGUGGCGCAGGAUGCCCUAUUCUUUCUUUAUUUCAGAAAGACCUGUCUAAGGUCCACAUGAAAUUAUUUCAAAACUGUGGCUGCUUGCGCAAAAACUAUGUAGUGCAACUAUUGAUUGUCAAUCGCGAAUACUUUUCUUCUAUGGAAGCAGAAUUCUUUAGUAUAAUGCAUCAUCACGUACAGGAGUCUUUUUGAGGUCAACUGAAUCUAUUGAUCUUGAAAUGACAUCCUACGUUGCAGUCUUGGACAGUUUCACAUCUCAAUUUGCAGCAAGAUUACACUUAUAUCCAUAAUCCCAACAUCCACACCUCUUAAUAGUAAUUUUAUUGGGAAUAACAUCUACAGAAGAUGUGAUCUUUGUGCCCUUUCAGAUCAUACUUUGAUGUAUCUCAGACUAAUUUCCAGUGCAAAAUGUACAAUACACCUCAAAGCUACGGCUGCUGCCUCCUCUGCAUGAGUUACAAUAAACUUUUCUGUAUGUAACAUAAGCACUCCAUUCAUAUCAUGACAAACUGCUUUAUAUCAUGAUCACGCAUCAUUAAAUAAUGUUGCAUCUGCAUUAAUUUUGUAAAAUCCUGCUGCAAGUUUACUCCUGAGAAACUAUGUUUCCAGCAGUUGGUGCUUUGUUUGCCUCAUUCAACCUUUGAUACUCUUGCAACAAAAAAACACGUUUGUUGAUUACGUGGUGAUGAGGCAAUGAGUUCUUACAUGCAUAUAUUAAUUUGUUCUGUGUCUCCACAGAAACCAUAGGAUCGUUAAAACCUUCUGAGCAUCAUGAAACACAUUCCAUCAUCUAAAUAACCAUUCUGCAAAUGAUUCACAGUCAUCUUCAUCUACCUUUUAGCAUAGUUGGAAUCCAAACCAAACAAACAUUAAUCUAUUAAUAUUUUCCAUAACUCCACAUCUAUCAUGAAUAUUGUUUCUACAGAAAUGAUUGAAAACUAUAGUUCAAAGUGGAGCCUAGAUAUUUUGCUACAUCAGCCUGCUGAGUAAUGACCAUAAGGACUAUAGAUCAAAGUUUUGUGUAGGGUUGUUACAAAUGACUGCACUGACGUAGACAUUGUUGUCUAACAAGUAUUUUUUUUGAUAAUUUAGAUAACACUUCUCAUACAUGAAUGCUAUAAGAUCACACAUCUUGUACGUGAUUGCGACAUACACACUGAUAUCUGAAAUGUUUUAAUUGAAGGAAUAAUUGGCUCAAAUGAAAGAUAAAGAAAGUAUCUGAAAGCUUGAGAUGAAUUCUUUGAAUUGAGGGAUACUCUUUAGCACAAUUUUGAUAAUCGAAAGAAUCUGUAGGUGAAAUUUGAUAUAGACAAAUACAAAGACAAUUUUCAAAUAUCCAUACAAAGAUAUUAAAUUUUAAUGAUCUUAGACUGGUUAAUUCAUCCCUUUUAUGACCUGUGAUUAUCUAAGACAAACUACAAUGUGAGGAUAAAUUGAUCGGGGUCUUCCUUCCAUUUGUUGACUUUUCUGUUGCCAUUGGGAUCAAGUCAUGAGACAAGCCUUGCAUACUAGCAUAGAAUUCAAUUCCUGACUGGGAGACCGCUCAAAGGAUGAUUGCUGGAUAUCUUAUUAUCUCCAAGACUUGAAAUAUUGGUGCAAUAUUAAACUUCCGGUUACUUGGAAGUGUAUCUUUCCUUGCUUCUGUAAAAUAAGCAAGCUAUGGUUUUGAUAAUGUAUUGACCUCUGGUUCCUCUAUACUAUGAUUCUAGCCGUACCUUACAUACUGAUGCAGGUAACAACCACUGGUCUGCUGGAAAAAGAACUUUAAAAAGCAAUAACACUUUGACAUGUAUCUACAUAUUGUUGUUUGGUAUUUGAGUCGGCUUACGGUAAACAUGCUGGUUUUGCAGGUACAAUAAAUUAAGCAGUUUUGUGCUACCCUGCAAGCCAUUCUGAGGACAAAGUAGUUCAUAAGGUAUUUAAUACCAGCUCGAAUCAUGUGGUACAUACUUUUAUCACUAUCAAUUUGGCUCCACACACAUCUUGAUGUGAAGAUGAGACUUCACUGAGGUGUUCUGCAUGAACUUGUAUUUACGUACUCAAAUUCCUGAGAAUUAAGGACAUUAUUGUAGUGGUUGCAGGAUGAUUGUUGUUUGGUUUGUGUAGCUACACUGAUGAAAAUUAAAUAUAACCUCAAUGAUAGAAUUAUUCAAAAACUAGUACUGUCGAAUGAGCAAUCAUAGUGGUGGUG
This 2609-nucleotide long non-coding RNA is filed under the name Musa acuminata (dwarf banana). RNAcentral's name for it is "long non-coding RNA (MACU_LNC003651)". Lineage: Eukaryota; Viridiplantae; Streptophyta; Magnoliopsida; Zingiberales; Musaceae. The record is from RNAcentral.